UACGUAGGGUGCAAGCGUUGUCCGGAAUUAUUGGGCGUAAAGAGCUCGUAGGCGGUCUGUCGCGUCUGCUGUGAAAACUCGGGGCUUAACCCCGGGCCUGCAGUGGGUACGGGCAGACUAGAGUGCGGUAGGGGAGACUGGAAUUCCUGGUGUAGCGGUGAAAUGCGCAGAUAUCAGGAGGAACACCGAUGGCGAAGGCAGGUCUCUGGGCAUUAACUGACGCUGAGGAGCGAAAGCAUGGGGAGCGAACAGG
This 253-nucleotide ribosomal RNA is filed under the name uncultured bacterium. RNAcentral describes it as "partial 16S ribosomal RNA". It matches the Rfam family "Bacterial small subunit ribosomal RNA", at positions 524 to 776 of the family's 1533-position model. The record is from RNAcentral.